GUGGGGUUGCAGCUCAGCGGUAGAGCGCUUGCCUUGUAUGUGUGAGGCACUGGGUUCGAUCCUCAGCACCACA
RNAcentral lists this transfer RNA (73 nucleotides) under Marmota monax (woodchuck). RNAcentral describes it as "tRNA.Thr". Lineage: Eukaryota; Metazoa; Chordata; Mammalia; Rodentia; Sciuridae. The record is from RNAcentral.